RNAcentral lists this microRNA (24 nucleotides) under Schmidtea mediterranea. RNAcentral's name for it is "sme-miR-754c-2-3p". Its record names the gene sme-miR-754c-2-3p. The record is from miRBase by way of RNAcentral. Lineage: Eukaryota; Metazoa; Platyhelminthes; Tricladida; Dugesiidae.
UAGUUUUAUCUUCAUGCAAUAUCA